UCCUCGAUAGCUCAAUGGUAGAGCAUCCGACUGUUAAUCGGACGGUUCUUGGUUCGAGUCCAAGUCGAGGAG
Molecule: transfer RNA, 72 nt
Filed under: Telmatocola sphagniphila
Lineage: Bacteria; Pseudomonadati; Planctomycetota; Planctomycetia; Gemmatales; Gemmataceae
Rfam family: tRNA
About the family: Transfer RNA (tRNA) molecules are approximately 80 nucleotides in length. Their secondary structure includes four short double-helical elements and three loops (D, anti-codon, and T loops).
Source: Rfam by way of RNAcentral